AUUGAACGCUGGCGGAAUGCUUUACACAUGCAAGUCGAACGGCAGCACGGACUUCGGUCUGGUGGCGAGUGGCGAACGGGUGAGUAAUACAUCGGAACGUGCCCAGUCGUGGGGGAUAACGUAGCGAAAGCUACGCUAAUACCGCAUACGAUCUACGGAUGAAAGCGGGGGAUCGCAAGACCUCGCGCGAUUGGAGCGGCCGAUGGCAGAUUAGGUAGUUGGUGGGGUAAAGGCUCACCAAGCCGACGAUCUCUAGCUAGUUUGAGAGGACGACCAGCCACACUGGGACUGAGACACGGCCCAGACUCCUACGGGAGGCAGCAGUGGUGAAUUUUGGACAAUGGGCGCAAGCCUGAUCCAGCCAUUCCGCGUGCAGGAUGAAGGCCCUCGGGUUGUAACCUGCUUUUGUACGGAACGAAAAGUCUCUGGUUAAUACCCGGGGCUCAUGACGGUACCGUAAGAAUAAGCACCGGCUAACUACGUGCCAGCCGCCGCGGUAA
Molecule: ribosomal RNA, 500 nt
Filed under: uncultured bacterium
Lineage: Bacteria
Description: partial 16S ribosomal RNA
Rfam family: Bacterial small subunit ribosomal RNA
Source: RNAcentral